GAAUGAAGAACGCAGCGAAACGCGAUAGUUAAUGUGAAUUGCAGAAUUCAGUGAAUCAUCGAGUCUUUGAACGCACAUUGCGCCUUUUGGCCAUUCCGAGAGGCACGUCUGUUUGAGCGUCAGCAAAACCCUCUGGCCCCCGGUUUUUUCCGCAGGGCACGGGCCAGCUGGCGCGGGGACUGGCCGCCGCGCUCCGGCGCGGGCGGGCCUUCCCCCGCUUAAAGGUGUGGAAGUUAGCGGGGUGCGCCCCGGAUAGCGACGACUCGUAAGCACUUACCGUCGGAAGCGUCCGGGACCUGCCCCCGCCUCAAAACAUGGAGCGGCCCUCCGCGGCCCUCCGAACCCUUGACCUCAGAUCAGACGAGGAUACCCGCUGAACUUAAGCAUAUCAAUAAGCGGAGGA
This 403-nucleotide unclassified non-coding RNA is filed under the name soil metagenome. Its description in RNAcentral is "partial contains 5.8S ribosomal RNA, internal transcribed spacer 2, and large subunit ribosomal RNA". The stretch from base 3 to 122 matches the Rfam family "5.8S ribosomal RNA", at positions 36 to 154 of the family's 154-position model. The record is from RNAcentral.